This 119-nucleotide ribosomal RNA is filed under the name Salmo salar (Atlantic salmon). Lineage: Eukaryota; Metazoa; Chordata; Actinopteri; Salmoniformes; Salmonidae. The record is from RNAcentral.
GCUUACGGCCAUACCAGCCUGGGUACGCCCGAUCUCGUCUGAUCUCGGAAGCUAAGCAGGGUCGGGCCUGGUUAGUACUUGGAUGGGAGACCGCCUGGGAAUACCAGGUGCUGUAAGGA